UGGCUCUCGCAUCGAUGAAGAACGCAGCGAAAUGCGAUAAGUAAUGUGAAUUGCAGAAUUCAGUGAAUCAUCGAAUCUUUGAACGCACCUUGCGCUCCUUGGUAUUCCGAGGAGCAUGCCUGUUUGAGUGUCAUUAAAUUCUCAACCUCACCCAUUUCGUCAUGAAGUGGUCGUGUAGGCUUGGAUGUGGAGGUGUUGCAGGUCCAGCUCUAUGUGGUCGGUCUGCUCCUCUGAAAUGCAUUAGUGGGUUGUGCCCCUCAUCUAUUGGUGUGAUAAUUAUCUACGCCGUGGAUCAGUGUUGGCAACAAUGAAAGACCCGCUUCUAACCGUCCGACUCGGACAAUGAUGACAUUUUUGACCUCAAAUCAGGUAAGACUACCCGCUGA
This 386-nucleotide unclassified non-coding RNA is filed under the name uncultured fungus. Its description in RNAcentral is "partial contains 5.8S ribosomal RNA and internal transcribed spacer 2". The stretch from base 1 to 133 matches the Rfam family "5.8S ribosomal RNA", at positions 22 to 154 of the family's 154-position model. The record is from RNAcentral. Lineage: Eukaryota; Fungi.